ACCGUGGUGCGAUCUUACUGAGCUGUGAAAUUUGAUGAAUACAUACACAUUACACUGUGUAAAUAUUUUAAAAAAAUUUAAAAUGACGUAAUGUAGGUGACACAUUACUUUUUGUUACCUGUUCUUAUAACAAGCACUUGAAGUUGCAGCACUGCCACCGCCACCUCCACCACCUAUUUCUUCCGAAUCGGUGGCAACACCUUCCACACCGCCAAUCGAUGGAUUCCGAUCCCAAAUCUUCCACAUCACUAGCCCCAAACCCUAACUCUAGCAACAUGGAAUUUGGUCGCACACAAACAUCCUUAAAACCUCCAUCACUGCUUCUUAUGAUGCCAAUUCCCUUCCCCUUUCUUUCCUUCUUCCACAAUCAUAUUCCCCCUCUCAAAUUCUUUUCUUUUUCAACUCUAAACUUCAAA
RNAcentral lists this long non-coding RNA (416 nucleotides) under Vigna radiata. RNAcentral's name for it is "long non-coding RNA (VRAD_LNC015428)". Lineage: Eukaryota; Viridiplantae; Streptophyta; Magnoliopsida; Fabales; Fabaceae. The record is from RNAcentral.